GAUGAAGAACGCAGCGAAAUGCGAUAAGUAAUGUGAAUUGCAGAAUUCCGUGAAUCAUCGAAUCUUUGAACGCACCUUGCGCCCUUUGGCCAUUCCGAAGGGCAUGCCUGUUUGAGUAUCAUGAACACCUCAACUCUCAUGGCUCGCCAUGAUGAGCUUGGACUUUGGGGGUCUUGCUGGCCUGUGGUCGGCUCCUCUCAAAUGGAUCAGCUUGCCAGUGUUUGGUGGCAUCACAGGUGUGAUAACUAUCUGCGCUUGUGGUUUUCCAUCAGAUAACCUUCAGUGAUGGAGGUUCGCUGGAGCUCAUAAACGUCUCCCCUAAGCGGGGACAGCCCUUUGAAUGUUUGAUCUCAAAUCAGGUAGGACUACCCGCUGAACUUAAGCAUAUCAAUAAGCGGAGGA
RNAcentral lists this unclassified non-coding RNA (402 nucleotides) under soil metagenome. RNAcentral's name for it is "partial contains 5.8S ribosomal RNA, internal transcribed spacer 2, and large subunit ribosomal RNA". The stretch from base 1 to 121 matches the Rfam family "5.8S ribosomal RNA", at positions 35 to 154 of the family's 154-position model. The record is from RNAcentral.